GUAGGGUGCAAGCGUUAAUCGGAAUUACUGGGCGUAAAGCGUGCGCAGGCGGUUUUGUAAGUCUGAUGUGAAAUCCCCGGGCUCAACCUGGGAAUUGCAUUGGAGACUGCAAGGCUAGAAUCUGGCAGAGGGGGGUAGAAUUCCACGUGUAGCAGUGAAAUGCGUAGAUAUGUGGAGGAACACCGAUGGCGAAGGCAGCCCCCUGGGUCAAGAUUGACGCUCAUGCACGAAAGCGUGGGGAGCAAACAGGAUUAGAUACCCUGGCAGUCCCACGCCCUAAACGAUGUCUACUAGUUGUCGGGUCUUAAUUGACUUGGUAACGCAGCUAACACGUGAAGUAGACCGCCUGGGGAGUACGGUCGCAAGAUUA
This 370-nucleotide ribosomal RNA is filed under the name uncultured organism. Its description in RNAcentral is "partial 16S ribosomal RNA". It matches the Rfam family "Bacterial small subunit ribosomal RNA", at positions 527 to 896 of the family's 1533-position model. The record is from RNAcentral.